UCUCUGUGAUGAAGAUACUUAGCUCACUUUGAACCAAUGUGAAACUACACGAACACCUGAGAGAU
Astyanax mexicanus (Mexican tetra) is the source of this 65-nucleotide small nucleolar RNA. The record is from Ensembl. NCBI's taxonomy places the organism in Eukaryota, Metazoa, Chordata, Actinopteri, Characiformes, Acestrorhamphidae.